RNAcentral lists this small nuclear RNA (83 nucleotides) under Pan paniscus (pygmy chimpanzee). Lineage: Eukaryota; Metazoa; Chordata; Mammalia; Primates; Hominidae. The record is from RNAcentral.
AUAAAUAAUUGGAAUGAUACAGAGAAGAUUAGCAUGGCUCCUGGGCAACGAUGACACAAAUUCGGGAAGUGUUUCAUGUUUUC